RNAcentral lists this ribosomal RNA (487 nucleotides) under uncultured bacterium. Its description in RNAcentral is "partial 16S ribosomal RNA". It matches the Rfam family "Bacterial small subunit ribosomal RNA", at positions 32 to 507 of the family's 1533-position model. The record is from RNAcentral.
AACGCUAGCGAUAGGCUUAACACAUGCAAGUCGAGGGGUAACGUGUUGGAAGCUUGCUUCCGAUGACGACGACCGGCGGAUGGGUGCGUAACGCGUAUGCAACUUGCCUCACAGUGGAGAAUAACCCGGAGAAAUCCGGACUAAUACUCCAUACACUCUUAAGUACGCCUGUACAUGAGAGGAAAGAUUUAUCGCUGUGAGAUAGGCAUGCGUCCUAUUAGGUAGUUGGUGAGGUAACGGCUCACCAAGCCGACGAUAGGUAGGGGUGCUGAGAGGCAGAUCCCCCACUUUGGGACUGAGACACGGCCCAAACUCCUACGGGAGGCAGCAGUGAGGAAUAUUGGUCAAUGGAGGAAACUCUGAACCAGCCAAGUCGCGUGAAGGAAGAAUGUCCUAAGGAUUGUAAACUUCUUUAGCGAGCGAGUAAGGACUUCCACGUGAUGGGAGUUUGAAAGUAGCUCGAGAAUAAGUAUCGGCUAUCUCCGUG